ACACAUCAUGAUCCAAAGGCAACACAACACUGGGUGUGCCUGCCUGCCCGUGUGGGAAGAAGGAAUCCUUUGUCCCUGCUUGUGUGUCUCUCUGAUGUGCUGGUUGUGGUCAGAUCAAUCCACUGCAUUUAUAUCAACAGCGAUGACGCUAUCCAACAACCAGCAACCUCGGUGCCCCCUAGCCUCAGUAAUGUCCAUGGUGCAGAAAAACAAACUGCAAUUCAUAGUUUGAUGUGGGUUCUGUUUCUCAGUGAUAGUUCACUUCCUGAUUGACCCAGAUAAGAUGAAGCCUAUUCAACUACCGCGACCUCUUGGGUUAGGUGUUUCUUUUCUGCCUGGUUCAGUAGUUCAUGACCUCUUGGGUUAGGUGUUUCUUUUCUGCCUGGUUCAGUAGUUCAUGACCUCUAGGGUCUAAGUGUUGAAAAGCCCUGAUCCAAAUGGUGAACAGUCCUCUUAAUAUCUUGAAGCCUUAACGUAUUGAUCGAUCCCUGGACUAUUAUUUCGGACUAAUAUUAAUGAUCUGCUGAACGGAUCUAAACUAAACCAACGCAGUAACCAGGUCUCUUAGGCUGCAGUACCUAUCCCCCUAGUUAGACCCAGAUCUGUUAGGCUGCAGUACCUAUCCUCCUAGUUAGACCCAGGUCUGUUACAUUUACAUUUUUUAGUCAUUUAGCAGACGCUCUUAUCCAGAGCGACUUACAGUAGUGAAUGCAUACAUUUCAUACAAUUUCAUACAUUUUUUGUUUUUUUUUUGUUUUUGUUUUUUCCUGUGCUGGCCCCCCGUGGGAAUCGAACCCACAACCCUGGUGUUGCAAACACCAUGCUCUACCAACUGAGCUACAGGGAAGGCUUGUAGUACCUAUCCCCCUAGUUAGACCCAGGUCUGUUAGGCUGCAGUACCUAUCCUCCUAGUUAGACCCAGGUCUGUUAGGCUGCAGUACCUAUCCCCCUAGUUAGACCCAGGUCUGUUAGGCUGCAGUACCUAUCCCCCUAGUUAGACCCAGGUCUGUUAGGCUGCAGUACCUAUCCCCCUAGUUAGACCCAGGUCUGUUAGGCUGCACUACCUAUCCCCCUAGUUAGACCCAGGUCUGUUAGGCUGCAGUACCUAUCCCCCUAGUUAGACCCAGGUCUGUUAGGCUACAGUACCUAUCCCCCUAGUUAGACCCAGAUCUGUUAGGCUGCAGUACCUAUCCUCCUAGUUAGACCCACGUCUGUUAGGCUACAGUACCUAUACCCCUAGUUAGACCCAGAUCUGUUAGGCUGCAGUACCUAUCCUCCUAGUUAGACCCAGGUCUGUUAGGCUGCAGUACCUAUCCUCCUAGUUAGACCCAGGUAUGUUAGGCUGCACUACCUAUCCCCCUAGUUAGACCCAGGUCUGUUAGGCUGCAGUACCUAUCCCCCUAGUUAGACCCAGGUCUGUUAGCGCUGCAGUACCUAUCCCCCUAGUUAGACCCAGGUCUGUUAGGCUACAGUACCUAUCCCCCUAGUUAGACCCAGAUCUGUUAGGCUGCAGUACCUAUCCCCCUAGUUAGACCCAGGUCUGUUAGGCUGCAGUACCUAUCCCCCUAGUUAGACCCAGGUCUGUUAGGCUACACUACCUAUCCCCCAUAGUUAGACCCAAGUCUGUCAGCUACGGUAUCUAUUUCCACUGGUCUUGUUAGGUCUAUCUGGGAGUGCUUAAACUCCAUACUUCCUGCCGUCUGGGCUCCGGACUUUUUAAAUUUUAUUCCUUGAAUUAAGGGUCCAGGUCAAAUAUUUUCGAUUAUGAACCUCAAGGUAUUUUUAUUCUCUGGACAUUGGAGAAUUUCGUUUUUUUUCUCCCCCCCUCUCUCCAUCUCUCAUUUUCUCUUUAUUUGUCUCUGUCUCUCACAGGGAAUAUUCGGAUGGAAAGGUUGAUGAUCUCUCCCAUGGAAAUAAAUUACCCAGAUUUCCUGAGUUAAUGUCAAAAUGGCUGAGUGAUGGGGGGGGGAUCCCACUAAUGAUGUUAUUCAUAAUUCAUAAACUGUUUCACUGUUACCAAGUCUUGUUACUGUAGAAUAAAGAUCAAAGUGAAUAGCAGACUGUUAUUAGAAGUCAACGUCGUCUCAACCACAAUGACAUCUAUAAUGGUUUCCCAGAAGACCGGACUGGGGCACAAUAAUGUACUGUGGUUAAUCUCCCUGGACUGUGUGGGUCUUCCACCUGGUAAUCUACCCGUGGCUGUGUCCCAAGGGCCUUCCCCCUGGUUAUCUCCCUGGGCUUUGUACCAAGGUAUUUCCACCUGGUUAUCUCCCUGGGCUGUGUACCAAGGUAUUUCCAUCUGGUUAAUCUCCCUGGGCUUUGUACCAAGGUAUUUCCACCUGGUUAAUCUCCCUGGGCUGUGUACCAAGGUAUUUCCACCUGGUUAUCUCCCUGGGCUGUGUAUCAAGGUAUUUCCCCCUGGUUAUCUCCCUGGGCUGUGUACCAAGGUAUUUCCACCUGGUUAUCUCCCUGGGCUGUGUACCAAGGUAUUUCCACCUGGUUAUCUCCCUGGGCUUUGUACCAAGGUAUUUCCCCCUGGUUAUCUCCCUGGGCUGUGUACCAAGGUAUUUCCACCUGGUUAUCUCCCUGGGCUGUGUAUCAAGGUAUUUCCACCUGGUUAAUCUCCCUGGGCUGUGUAUCAAUGUAUUUCCACCUGGUUAAUCUCCCUGGGCUUUGUACCAAGGUAUUUCCACCUGGUUAAUCUCCCUGGGCUGUGUAUCAAUGUAUUUCCACCUGGUUAAUCUCCCUGGGCUGUGUAUCAAUGUAUUUCCACCUGGUUAUCUCCCUGGGCUGUGUAUCAAUGUAUUUCCACCUGGUUAUCUCCCUGGGCUGUGUAUCAAUGUAUUUCCACCUGGUUAUCUCCCUGGGCUGUGUAUCAAUGUAUUUCCACCUGGUUAUCUCCCUGGGCUGUGUACCAAGGUAUUUCCACCUGGUUAUCUCCCUGGGCUGUGUAUCAAUGUAUUUCCACCUGGUUAUCUCCCUGGGCUGUGUACCAAGGUAUUUCCACCUGGUUAAUCUCCCUGGGCUGUGUACCAAGGUAUUUCCACCUGGUUAUCUCCCUGGGCUGUGUACCAAGGUAUUUCCACCUGGUUAUCUCCCUGGGCUGUGUACCAAGGUAUUUCCACCUGGUUAUCUCCCUGGGCUUUGUACCAAUGUAUUUCCACCUGGUUAAUCUCCCUG
RNAcentral lists this long non-coding RNA (3180 nucleotides) under Salmo salar (Atlantic salmon). RNAcentral describes it as "lncRNA (ENSSSAG00000094482.1)". The record is from RNAcentral. Lineage: Eukaryota; Metazoa; Chordata; Actinopteri; Salmoniformes; Salmonidae.